This is a long non-coding RNA of Argiope bruennichi, 736 nucleotides long. RefSeq lists it as uncharacterized. The record is from RefSeq and is a predicted model, not a curated record. The transcript has 4 exons. Lineage: Eukaryota; Metazoa; Arthropoda; Arachnida; Araneae; Araneidae.
CAUUAAUUGAGUUUUAGUGACCUUUUUGGUUUGAAGUGCCAAGCGUGGCGUUUGAUAUUUUAUUACGCUAAAAAGAAAUUUAUACCGACUUUAUCAGUAUUCAUAUUUUAGUUCCAUGCCGCGGAAGAUAAUUUUGCAGUUUGAAGAAAUGUCUUUCUGUCGACAAAUCAAGAAAUGAUGAUGCAAGUUUAAGGAAUGCCGGAGAACUUCAUCGAAAAAGAUUAAAUUUAUGGCUCCCAUUAAGAUAUGCAUUUUAAAGAGGAGGCUUUCAGGAUACAAGGUUGCAUUCAAUUAUAGUCUAUAGAGCUGGAAACUUUCAAUCUUCACAAUUGCAUACGGAUUUGAGUAUCUGAAAGGGAAGAUGUUGUAUGGAAGUCGAUAUUUCCCUCGUUCAUGCCUGUUUUUUGCAAAAUGAGAGGAUGUUAUUUUCUACCUGUAGAGCGGCUGCCUUUCCAACAUCCGACAAACCUCCUGGUGUAAUUAAUCUGGAUGUGCAGCAGUCGAUUCACAGGGAUGGUACUGGAAUGUGUGAAAGUCUCGAUUGCCUUCGGUGAUGACACCAGAGCGAGAUGGACCCUUCUGAAUAUGGAUUUUAUCCUGAACCAUCGCAAAUCUUAUCUUGGAGACAUACAGACCUAUAUGCAAAUAUAUUUGACAAUUGGCAUCCAAUUGCUCUAACUGCUGACAUUAAAAUCUUUAAUGCCAAAAUGUGUUAAUUAACAAAUUAUAAAAAUGA